RNAcentral lists this unclassified non-coding RNA (3052 nucleotides) under Leishmania donovani. RNAcentral describes it as "gene:unknown". Lineage: Eukaryota; Euglenozoa; Kinetoplastea; Trypanosomatida; Trypanosomatidae. The record is from RNAcentral.
ACACGCACACACACACACAUUGAAAGGUUGUCCAAUGUGGAGUGGAAGACUCACACCGCUGAUGUGCGCGAUGCUGGACACGAUAUGUUCUCAUGGGUUCAUCCAAGACUAGCUGCGCAAAUCCGCGAAGAGGAGGAAGCUGGCGGUUAUCGCUUUCGUUUCCAUGGCGAAGGCUGCCACCACACCGGCCCGCAACCCUGUAUCAGGGUCUCUCCGCCAAACGGCCAUGGAAGGCAGCGCCGAUCUCCGUGGGAACGAGUCUUCCUCUUUUCCAAGCACCAUAAUCGACCCCUCGAUCAAGAGACCGCCGCAAAAUUGAUGGCGAAUCUGCAUGCCAACUCUAUCUGCCAGACGCACAUGCGUGAGCAAAUCUUAUCAGCGUCUUCUGCAAGCUUGGACAGCCAGCCCACUACCUACAACUACUGGAUUUGGUGAGCAAAGGACCGGAGGGGGGGGCCAUCGGACCACGCGGAAGGUGCCGCCCAUCUCCUGCGAGGCUUUGACCGACAUCAUUGCAGGGUUCACGCCUUCGUUCCUCUGUGCAAGUGUACCGAAUCAUGUGGAAGACAGCGUUCAGAUGGGGCGAUGUCAUCAGGACGACGACGACGGAGUUGUUUUUCUUUGCCUUGCCCGACGAGACAGUAAUUGACGUUGACGAGCCAAGACGAACCGCGGCGCACCGUACCUUACGGAGUUUUUCGUGGUGGUUGGCGAGCGCACAUGAGAGAUCCCAGUGCACCUGUGACGGUUGUGGAGGGCGGUUCCUACUCGGCAGACGCCGCUCUUCUCCUUCACAGGACAGGGAGGGCCCACCUUGCGUUGAAGGCUCGUGGUUUUCGCUUGCGCAGCAUCAAUGGUGGAGCGGUGGCCACACGAUGUUGGCCGGUAUAUCAGAGAACGAGAUCUACAAGCGCAACGCUGUCGUGCAGCACCCUCUCCACACCCUCUCUGUGCUGCGAGUGAUUCCGAGCAGAGGCGUGCGAUAUGCUCGCCAUAGGGUGCUGCUAGCGAGGAGACUCAUGCCUUAUUCCUGCACAGGGCUUCUUCAGUGGCCGGCUCGUGGCCGGGUAAUCCCUGGUUCGAUGAAAGCGUACGGAUUUCUCUCCUUCCCCAAAGGCGAGCGGGGCGGGGCGAGGGCAUCUACACUGCAGCUUAGCGCUUGUGCGCGCGUGCGGGGUCUUCGGGUGAGUGCACCGCUUCUCUGCGUUUUCGCAGGGUGCCCACGCUCCGCUGAGGUGCAAUGCGGCAUUGCAUGCGAGCGGGGUGUAGCAAGGCAUGGAUCGCUUGUGGACUCUGUUGGCUGAGGUGAGGGCGACACCCAGCCCCUGACCCACGCCUCUUGCUCAGCGGUGGGCAGCACAGUUGGCGGCCGUGGGGGUGGCGGCCAAGAUCGGGGAUACAGAGAUGGCGGAGCCAUUGCACUCGGCUUUCAGAGUGCUGUGGCAGAAGCUUGUUGGCGGGCGACUGCGGCUUGUCCUGUGGCCCCGCAGCCUCGUUACCAGCCGCUCCAUGGCAGAGCGUGACGACGGAUUGUGGGGGGGGGAGAGAGACGCGUAGCUCGACAUACUUGCUCUUCCAGGUACAGCUGCCGCGCAAACACCUCCGCGCUCGAUUUCGAUUCCGGGACGAGGCUGUCUCGUGCCACGAGAUGCGGGUGCCGCGAAUGGGGCUGCGCGUUGAUCCAGAGAUUAUGUAGGAACACACACACACACACACACACACUCAUGGCCACCCUUGGAGGCGGUCCCCGCCUACACGUGGGUGUAGAGGCGGCCUCUUCACAGACAACAGUAGUCGCACAGAUCGGCAGCCUGGACAUCGCAGGGAGGGGGAGAGGCAGCGGUGCGACCGUCGGCCACGCUGACGACAGGAGGAGGCGGUGUGCUGGCAAGCUUACUUCUGCGUGGGCACCCUUGAGCGGCGAUCUCGAUAAAGCUCCGCCAAGUCCCUGUGGCGCAGCGAGGGGCGUUCUCCUGGAAAGCUGUGGCUCGCUGCGCACGCUCUGGCGAUUCCAGCUUAUCGGGUGUCGGUGGCUGUUGGAAGCGGCCUGAGGGGUCACGGCAAAGCUGGGCCGAGGUCGCGUCGCCCUCGAGCAUGAAGCACAGCUGCAGUCCAUCGGCGCUGCAUCCACUGGAAGAAAAAAGACUGGUUUUCGCGCGCGAUCGCCAGCUGCCCACGCCAGGUUGCGGUUACGCAGCCGACGAGGCAGACCUUUAGCGCCGACACCGAUUCGUCCUCCGUUGGAUGGGGUGAUUAGCCCAUCCAGCGGGGUGGAAGCUGACCAGUAGUGGUUGGUGGUUGAUGGCAGACGCGACUGAAGCACGUGCAGCCACCCAAGUAUUUGGUUCUCUUUGAAACGCGAUCCCUCUCAGAUCCUGCGUACACCCUUUCGUGGGCUGCACGUCCGCGCUUUCCGGUUGGCGUAAGGGACACGAACGUAGCUUCGCCAUCGACCAUGAGCGGCGCCAUCGCUCUGAAAGCGAUGGCUUCCUCCAGAGUGUGAGCUUCCGACACGCCCCCUCGCGAUACAGCCUGGCAGAUGCCCCGAGUCGGACGUUGUGGCGGGCGUGCGAGUUCUUUUUUUUUCGAGCUCAUAGUUCCCCAUCCUUUUCUUCGCCGGUGCUCCACGUGUGGAUACGGAAGAACAGAACUUUCACACGCACACACGCGCGAGCACAGGGCUUUGAUAUUCUCUAUUUCUUGCCACCAGGUGUUCCAUAUAUGCAGACAUGUACGUGUCUAUGUGUACAUCGAUAUGGGGCACUGUAUGCGAUACUCCCAGCUCAUGCGGGCGCAGUCCUUUUCUUUGCUGUUUGUUCCUUUUCCUGAUUUAGGUCCCCUUUUGUCAACUCUUUUUCCUGACCGAGCAAACUCUUCUCCGCCUCACCUCGGGUGAGCCUCCUCCAAUGGCCUGAAACUGGCCACGCGGCUUCUUGUUUGGGCAAUAGCCUACUAGCGACUCGAGGGGCUGGAGGGGAAAGGACUCGGACCAGGCGAAACCGAGCAGGCUGAAGGGUGUGUAAGGGAUGACUUCUUACACCCACCCACCCAC